UUAGGAAUAUUCGUCAAUGGGGGAAACCCUGAACGAGCAAUGCCGCGUGAAUGAAGAAGGCCCUAUGGGUUGUAAAAUUCUGUUGUAUGGAAAGAAAGAUAGAUAUAGGAAAUGAUAUGUAUUUGACGGUACCAUUCAAGAAAGCCACGGCUAACUACGUGCCAGCAGCCGCGGUAAUACGUAGGUGGCGAGCGUUAUCCGGAAUUAUUGGGCGUAAAGAGUGCGCAGGCGGUUUGAUAAGUCUAAAAUAAAAGCCCGAAGCUUAACUUCGGUUCGUUUUAGAAACUGUCAGACUAGAGUGUG
RNAcentral lists this ribosomal RNA (303 nucleotides) under uncultured bacterium. RNAcentral describes it as "bacterial SSU rRNA". It matches the Rfam family "Bacterial small subunit ribosomal RNA", at positions 355 to 650 of the family's 1533-position model. The record is from RNAcentral.